UACGUAGGGGGCAAGCGUUGUCCGGAUUCACUGGGCGUAAAGGGUGCGUAGGUGGCCGGGUAAGUCUGACGUGAAAUCUCCGAGCCUAACUCGGAAACUGCAUCGGAUACUAUCCGGCUUGAGGGUUGGAGGGGGGACUGGAAUACUUGGUGUAGCAGUGAAAUGCGUAGAUAUCAAGUGGAACACCAGUGGCGAAGGCGAGUCCCUGGACAACUCCUGACACUGAGGCACGAAAGCUAGGGGAGCAAACAGG
RNAcentral lists this ribosomal RNA (253 nucleotides) under uncultured bacterium. Its description in RNAcentral is "partial 16S ribosomal RNA". It matches the Rfam family "Bacterial small subunit ribosomal RNA", at positions 524 to 776 of the family's 1533-position model. The record is from RNAcentral.